RNAcentral lists this ribosomal RNA (402 nucleotides) under uncultured bacterium. Its description in RNAcentral is "bacterial SSU rRNA". It matches the Rfam family "Bacterial small subunit ribosomal RNA", at positions 355 to 773 of the family's 1533-position model. The record is from RNAcentral.
UCGGGAAUCUUGCGCAACGGGCGAAAGCCUGACGCAGCAACGCCGCGUGGGGGAUGAAGGCUCUCGGGUUGUAAACCCCUUUCAGCAGGGACGAAUCAAGACGGUACCUGCAGAAGAAGCUCCGGCUAACUACGUGCCAGCAGCCGCGGUAACACGUAGGGGGCAAGCGUUGUCCGGAUUUAUUGGGCGUAAAGAGCUCGUAGGUGGCUGAGUAAGUCGGAUGUUAAAUCCCCAGGCUCAACCUGGGACACCACCCGAUACUGCUCUGGCUAGAGUCCGGUAGGGGAGCGUGGAAUUCCUGGUGUAGCGGUGAAAUGCGCAGAUAUCGGGAGGAACACCAGCGGCGAAGGCGGCGCUCUGGGCCGGUACUGACACUGAGGAGCGAAAGCGUGGGUAGCAAAC